UACUAUAGCUUGACACUGAACAUUGAGCCUUGAUGUGUAGGAUAGGUGGGAGGCUUUGAAGUGUGGACGCCAGUCUGCAUGGAGCCGACCUUGAAAUACCACCCUUUAAUGUUUGAUGUUCUAACGUUGACCCGUAAUCCGGGUUGCGGACAGUGUCUGGUGGGUAGUUUGACUGGGGCGGUCUCCUCCUAAAGAGUAACGGAGGAGCACGAAGGUUGGCUAAUCCUGGUCGGACAUCAGGAGGUUAGUGCAAUGGCAUAAGCCAGCUUGACUGCGAGCGUGACGGCGCGAGCAGGUGCGAAAGCAGGUCAUAGUGAUCCGGUGGUUCUGAAUGGAAGGGCCAUCGCUCAACGGAUAAAAGGUACUCCGGGGAUAACAGGCUGAUACCGCCCAAGAGUUCAUAUCGACGGCGGUGUUUGGCACCUCGAUGUCGGCUCAUCACAUCCUGGGGCUGAAGUAGGUCCCAAGGGUAUGGCUGUUCGCCAUUUAAAGUGGUACGCGAGCUGGGUUUAGAACGUCGUGAGACAGUUCGGUCCCUAUCUGCCGUGGGCGCUGGAGAACUGAGGGGGGCUGCUCCUAGUACGAGAGGACCGGAGUGGACGCAUCACUGGUGUUCGGGUUGUCAUGCCAAUGGCACUGCCCGGUAGCUAAAUGCGGAAGAGAUAAGUGCUGAAAGCAUCUAAGCACGAAACUUGCCCCGAGAUGAGUUCUCCCUGACCCUUUAAGGGUCCUGAAGGAACGUUGAAGACGACGACGUUGAUAGGCCGGGUGUGUAAGCGCAGCGAUGCGUUGAGCUAACCGGUACUAAUGAACCGUGAGGCUUAACCUUACAACGCCGAAGCUGUU
Molecule: ribosomal RNA, 846 nt
Filed under: Escherichia coli
Lineage: Bacteria; Pseudomonadati; Pseudomonadota; Gammaproteobacteria; Enterobacterales; Enterobacteriaceae
Description: partial 23S ribosomal RNA
Rfam family: Bacterial large subunit ribosomal RNA
Source: RNAcentral